RNAcentral lists this ribosomal RNA (835 nucleotides) under uncultured bacterium. RNAcentral describes it as "bacterial SSU rRNA". It matches the Rfam family "Bacterial small subunit ribosomal RNA", at positions 662 to 1501 of the family's 1533-position model. The record is from RNAcentral.
UAGAAUUCCACAUGUAGCAGUGAAAUGCGUAGAUAUGUGGAGGAAUACCAAUGGCGAAGGCAGCCCCCUGGGAUAACACUGACGCUCAUGCACGAAAGCGUGGGGAGCAAACAGGAUUAGAUACCGUGGUAGUCCACGCCCUAAACGAUGCUGACUAGUUGUUCGGGAUUUACAUCCUGAGUAACGUAGCUAACGCGUGAAGUCAGCCGCCUGGGGAGUACGGUCGCAAGAUUAAAACUCAAAGGAAUUGACGGGGACCCGCACAAGCGGUGGAUGAUGUGGAUUAAUUCGAUGCAACGCGAAAAACCUUACCUACCCUUGACAUGUCACUAACGAAGUAGAGAUACAUUAGGUGCUCGUAAGAGAAAGUGAACACAGGUGCUGCAUGGCUGUCGUCAGCUCGUGUCGUGAGAUGUUGGGUUAAGUCCCGCAACGAGCGCAACCCUUGUCUUUAGUUGCUACGCAAGAGCACUCUAAAGAGACUGCCGGUGACAAACCGGAGGAAGGUGGGGAUGACGUCAAGUCCUCAUGGCCCUUAUGGGUAGGGCUUCACACGUCAUACAAUGGUGCAUACAGAGGGUUGCCAACCCGCGAGGGGGAGCUAAUCUCAGAAAAUGCAUCGUAGUCCGGAUCGUAGUCUGCAACUCGACUACGUGAAGCUGGAAUCGCUAGUAAUCGCGGAUCAGAAUGUCGCGGUGAAUACGUUCCCGGGUCUUGUACACACCGCCCGUCAUACCAUGGGAGUGGGUUUUGCCAGAAGCCGUUAGCCUAACCGCAAGGAGGGCGACUGCCACGGCAGGGUUCAUGACUGGGGUAAAGUCGUAACAAGGUAACC